This 1515-nucleotide long non-coding RNA is filed under the name Mus musculus (house mouse). RNAcentral describes it as "predicted gene, 16794". The record is from RNAcentral. Lineage: Eukaryota; Metazoa; Chordata; Mammalia; Rodentia; Muridae.
CUUCCAUACUCGUUGGUGACAGCGCAAGAGGUGUGAUUUGCGCAUUAGGUGAGCUCAGGUUUAAAAUGCCAGUUGAUUGAGGUGUGGACUUGCGGAUGGUAUAAGAACGUUUAAGAGACAGUUGGUUAGCUUUAUGUUAACUUGAAACAUGGCAGAGUCGUUAGAAAGAGAAACCUCAACUGAGAAAAACGCUGCUUCCAAAUUGGCCUGUGGGAAUAUUUUGAUUACUGAUCAAUGCGGGAGGGCCCAUCUGAAUGUGUGCUGCUGCCACCCCUGGGCCGGUGGUCUUUCGGUAUGUGAAAAAGGCUGAGUGAACUAGCCAGAAAGCAACAUUCCUUCAGAGCUUCUUCAGUUCCUGCCUCAAGUUCCUUUGAUGAUGGGCUGUGAUGUGGAAGUCUGAAUCUAUGGACUUUUUCAUCUUCCUGUGAUAGCUGAUAGCAACCCAAAGAAGAUAGGUCAUCGAAACCGAAAUUACCUUCUAAUCUUCCUCCAGAAUUGUAAAAGGAGAAAAAUUUUGAUGUUCUUAAAGAUGGAUCCAUUAGCCUUAAUUUACUCUCAAGGACCCACUCUGGUACUAUUUGUUGUAGCUGUUAUUUAGUUGCUAGGACUUGAAAUCAAGACCUAGAACAUACAGGGUAAGUACUCUACUACUGAACUAUACCUUAGAUUGACUUUUUCUUUAAUCUAGAUCAGACUUAAAUAUAUUGUCAAAUUUAGAAAUGUUAAACAACUCCAAUUUCAUGAAACUAAGUCUCUGUAAAAUGAACUGAUCUGCCCAUGUUCACAUAGCUAGUAACUAACUCACGAUUAAAGUUCAUACCUUCCAUGUACCAUUUUUCUAACUUCUCUGUAUCCUAAAUAGCUUUUCUGAGGAAUUCACUGAUGAAAACCAGUCAAGACACUCUGUGUUAUGCAACUAUGACUAAAAUGUAUAGCGAGGGAGAACAGUUGUUGGGGAAAGAAAACUCAAAGUAAUAUAUCCAAUAAGUCACAUCAUACCUUAUUAAAAAGACAGUUGAAAUCUACAUGUACACAUUCACCAGUGAAAGAGUCAAAAAGAAUGUUUUCACCAUGACGGUCUCCAAGCCCCAGGAUGUAGCCAACCAUUGACAUGACUGCAGUAGAGCGGCAAUAUGCAGAUCUGCUACUGUACCUAAAGCAGUACAAUGCUUGUCAAAUACUCUGUGCCAGGUUAAGUACAAAAAAAUUUAGAAAGAAACAUCAAACUAUAACAAUAUUCUUGUUAACUUGCCAUGAUGUAGGAUCAGGGAAUGUUCUCAGAAACCACUCAUGAAAAACAGGAGGAUGCCUGGGCAGGAGUAAUUCUUGGAAUACUUUGAGUUUUUCAGAUAAAGCUGCUGACUUUGGUAGCAUACACUGGCGAAGCUCCUUUCCUGUCAUAUACACUCCUACAAAGCAGAAUGAUUUUAAUUGUUUGUACAGCCAAAUGAGAAAAGAAGCAAGAAUAAUUUUGUUAAAAUAUUAAAGUAUCAACUUUUGCUACAACUGAAAAGC